GUUUGAUCCUGACUCAGAACGAACGCUGGCGGCGUGCCUAACACAUGCAAGUCCAACGUGAAAGGGGAGCAAUCCCCCGGUAGGGUGGCAAACGGGUGAGUAAUACAUGGGUGAUCUACCUUAGGGAUGGGGAUAUCCUUCCGAAAGGAGGGGCAAUACCGAAUAUUGUCCGGGACCGUGAAGGGUUUCGGGGAAAGGGAGGCCUCUGACACAAGCUUUCGCCUUAAGAUGAGCCCAUGGCCCAUCAGCUAGUUGGUAGGGUAAAGGCCUACCAAGGCUACGACGGGUCGCUGGUCUGAGAGGACGACCAGCCACACUGGCACUGAGAUACGGGCCAGACUCCUACGGGAGGCAGCAGUGAGGAAUAUUGCGCAAUGGGGGAAACCCUGACGCAGCAACGCCGCGUGUGGGAAGAAGGCCUUCGGGUCGUAAACCACUUUUACUCGGGACGAAAAAGGGAUAUCAAACAAAUAUCCCCGAUGACGGUACCGUGAGAAUAAGCCACGGCUAACUCUGUGCCAGCAGCCGCGGUAAGACAGAGGUGGCAAGCGUUGUUCGGAAUUACUGGGCGUAAAGAGUCUGUAGGUGGUUUGUCGAGUCUUUGGUGAAAGGCCGU
This 616-nucleotide ribosomal RNA is filed under the name uncultured bacterium. Its description in RNAcentral is "bacterial SSU rRNA". It matches the Rfam family "Bacterial small subunit ribosomal RNA", at positions 11 to 605 of the family's 1533-position model. The record is from RNAcentral.